GGCGGUUCUCGGGUGACACACCCCAGAAUUGGGCUCCCUCCUCUCUGGUUCUGGGUAUGUCACCUGAGAACUGCC
Myotis lucifugus (little brown bat) is the source of this 75-nucleotide non-coding RNA. The record is from Rfam. NCBI's taxonomy places the organism in Eukaryota, Metazoa, Chordata, Mammalia, Chiroptera, Vespertilionidae.